CCUACGGGAGGCAGCAGUGGGGAAUAUUGCACAAUGGGGGAAACCCUGAUGCAGCGACGCCGCGUGAGUGAAGAAGUAUCUCGGUACGUAAAGCUCUAUCAGCAGGGAAGAAAAUGACGAUACCUGACUAAGAAGCCCCGGCUAACUCCGUGCCAGCAGCCGCGGUAAUACGUAGGGGGCACACGUUAGCCGGAGUGACUGGGGGUAAAGGGAGCGUAGACGGCAGCACAAGUCUGGAGUGAAAGCCCAGGGCUUAACCCCGGAACUGCUUUGGAAACUGUGUGGCUGGAGUGUAGGAGGGGUAAGCGGAAUUCCUAGUGUAGCGGUGAAAGGCGUAGAUAUUAGGAGGAACACCGGUGGCGAAGGCGGCUUACUGGACUGUAACUGACGUUGAGGCUCGAAAGCGUGGGGAGCAAACAGGAUCAGAUACCCGAGUAGUC
Molecule: ribosomal RNA, 440 nt
Filed under: uncultured bacterium
Lineage: Bacteria
Description: partial 16S ribosomal RNA
Rfam family: Bacterial small subunit ribosomal RNA
Source: RNAcentral